This 261-nucleotide ribosomal RNA is filed under the name uncultured bacterium. RNAcentral describes it as "partial 16S ribosomal RNA". It matches the Rfam family "Bacterial small subunit ribosomal RNA", at positions 74 to 334 of the family's 1533-position model. The record is from RNAcentral.
ACCUAGCAAUAGGUUGAUGGCGACCGGCGCACGGGUGAGUAACACGUAUCCAACCUACCGGUUAUUCCGGGAUAGCCUUUCGAAAGAAAGAUUAAUACCGGAUAGUAUAACGAGAAGGCAUCUUCUUGUUAUUAAAGAAUUUCGAUAACCGAUGGGGAUGCGUUCCAUUAGUUUGUUGGCGGGGUAACGGCCCACCAAGACAUCGAUGGGUAGGGGUUCUGAGAGGAAGGUCCCCCACAUUGGAACUGAGACACGGUCCAA